UAAGACGAACCGUCCAAACGUUAUUCGGAAUCACUGGGCUUAAAGGGCGCGUAGGCGGCCGAGCGGGUCGCGGGUGAAAUCCUCCAGCUUAACUGGAGAACUGCCCUCGAUACCACUGCGGCUCGAGGAAGGAAGGGGCAAUCGGAACUGUCGGUGGAGCGGUGAAAUGCGUUGAUAUCGACAGGAACGCCGGUGGCGAAAGCGGAUUGCUGGUCCUUUUCUGACGCUGAUGCGCGAAAGCCAGGGGAGCAAACGGGAUUAGAUACCCCGGUAGUCCUGGCCUUAAACGAUGAGAACUAGGUAGUGGGUCCGACCUGGGCACACUGCCGAAGCGAAAGUCUUAAGUUCUCCGCCUGGGGAGUAUGGUCGCAAGGCUG
RNAcentral lists this ribosomal RNA (377 nucleotides) under uncultured bacterium. Its description in RNAcentral is "bacterial SSU rRNA". It matches the Rfam family "Bacterial small subunit ribosomal RNA", at positions 521 to 896 of the family's 1533-position model. The record is from RNAcentral.